UCGAGCCCACUCUCCCUUCCUCCCCGCCGCCGCCAGCCAUCCUCCCCGUCCCGCGCCUUCUCCUUCCCAUCGCCCCUCCCUGCCGCAGAAGCAGCAGUCCCCGCCCGUCGCCCAAGAGCCGAAGCCCGCCACCAAGCAGCCGCCCCCUCUCCUCUUCCUCCCACCUCACAUAUCUCUCUCCAUCCAAACCCUAGCCCCGCACCGGCCUUCCUGCCCUGCCGCCGUCAUCUCCUUCGCCCGGUUGGCCGCCCCGCACCGCACGAGGUGGGAUGCGAGGAGGCAGGCGAGUGGGUGCAGGGGAGCAGGCAGGAAGGAGCAGCGGAGAUGCGCGGAAGAGCAGGAUAGCUACACGACAGAGCUGAACGGGACCUCAGGCGGAAGUAAAUCUGAGAAUGGGUUUUGUUUAACCGGGUGUUUUGGGAUUAGGCGGAACUGCGUGGUUGUGCCGGGAGCGCGGGCGGAUAACUAGAGACGACGAGGAGGGCUUCUACGGCGUACUUCAGCUCCAGUGAGGCUCCUAUCCCCACCGCGCAGCUCUGUAGCUCGCUCAGGCACCUGAACACCGACGCCAUAGAGGAUGCUGCUCCACCCCUGCUCCGGUCCGUGCCCCCGACGCCAUGGAGGACGCCCCUCCACCCCUGCUCUAGCCUGAAGGUACUCCACAACUGCUCCAUCUCAGUUUUGGUCAAAACUGAAUGUUGAAUGGUCCUGCUGCAUUAAGCUGCUGUUUCACAAUUUAAAACUGAGUUUUUAAAACUCUGUUAUGUACUAUGGUCUCUUUGUUUUGUAAAUCUGUUGUAAUCAUUUAUGUUGUGGAGUAAGUUUUAAACAAAUUCAGUAGAGUUCUGAACUAUUAAGUUCUGACCAUUGCAUCAGUAAGUUUUAAACAAAUUCAGUAGUUUUAAACAAAUUACUAGAUCAUUGAGUUCUGAACCAUUCCAAAUUCUUAAUUUUUUGAUCGACAACGACGGCUCCUCCUCUUCCAAGUCUAGCCCAUCGACGACGACGGCUCUAAAAUGAACAUUGUUAUCUGUGAAUGGAGAGACAAAAACUGUAAUGCAGGAGAUAACUCAUGGUGCCUGCAACUAUCUCCUAAAACCCGUUAGCAUCGAGGAGCUUAGGAAUAUCUGGCAGCAUGUUGUUUGGUCCGUUGAACUACAUAGAAAAUUCAUCUCUGCUGUCAACCAUCUUGGAAUUGACAAAGGUGUGCCGAAAAGGAUACUUGACCUCAUGAAUGUUGAAAAACUCACUAGGGAAAAUGUUGCAAGUCGUCUACAGGCAAGC
Molecule: long non-coding RNA, 1284 nt
Organism: Triticum dicoccoides
Lineage: Eukaryota; Viridiplantae; Streptophyta; Magnoliopsida; Poales; Poaceae
Exons: 5
Source: RefSeq, a predicted model, not a curated record